This 302-nucleotide long non-coding RNA is filed under the name Monodelphis domestica (gray short-tailed opossum). RNAcentral's name for it is "lncRNA (ENSMODG00000043142.1)". Lineage: Eukaryota; Metazoa; Chordata; Mammalia; Didelphimorphia; Didelphidae. The record is from RNAcentral.
UUUGAUAUGCAUUUAUAAUUUAAUACUUGAAAUAGCUUCCUUAAUGUUUGUUUCAUCUCAGAGCUUGAUUAACAUAGGAUUCUUGCAUCAAGAUGAAUGUUAAAGACAAAAAGGAGAUUUUUUCAGAUAUGCAUGAAGAUUUGUUGGUUAUGUAGCCAUUGGGGUCACAGCUUGUCUGAACCAACUCUCAACUCCAUCAACAGUAUGCCAAUAUGUUAUCAUCAAUAAGACUUUCCAAUGAUUGCAAUUUCCAUAUUUUGUCAUCUUUGCCAAUGUGAAAGAUGUGAGACAAAGCCUCAGAA